Molecule: ribosomal RNA, 309 nt
Filed under: uncultured bacterium
Lineage: Bacteria
Description: bacterial SSU rRNA
Rfam family: Bacterial small subunit ribosomal RNA
Source: RNAcentral
GAUGAACGCUAGCGGCAGGCUUAACACAUGCAAGUCGAGGGGUAACAUUUUGUGCUUGCACAAAGAUGACGACCGGCGCACGGGUGCGUAACGCGUAUACAAUCUGCCUCAUACUGAGGGAUAGCCUUUGGAAACGAAGAUUAAUACCUCAUGGUAUCAUUAGAUGGCAUCAUUUAGUGAUUAAAGGUUACGGUAUGAGAUGAGUAUGCGUCCUAUUAGCUUGUUGGUAAGGUAACGGCUUACCAAGGCGACGAUAGGUAGGGGCCCUGAGAGGGGGAUCCCCCACACUGGUACUGAGACACGGACCAG